CCCUUAGAGUUUGAUCCUGGCUCAGGAUGAACGCUGACAGAAUGCUUAACACGUGCAAGUCGAUUCGAUUUACCUUCGGGUAUUGAGGAUGGCGGACGGGUGAGUAACGCGUAAGGAACUUGCCUCUUGGACUGGGACAACUGUUGGAAACGACAGCUAAUACCGGAUAUUAUGAGAUUCUCGCAUGAGAAACUUAUGAAAGCUAUAUGCGCCAAGAGAGAGCCUUGCGUUCCAUUAGCUAGUUGGUGGGGUAAUGGCCCACCAAGGCGACGAUGGAUAGCCGGCCUGAGAGGGUGAACGGCCACAAGGGGACUGAAACACCGCCCUUUACUCCUACGGGAGGCAGCAGUGGGGAAUUAUUGGACAAUGGGCCACAAGCCUGAUCCAGCAAUUCUGUGUGCACGAUGAAGGUCUUCGGAUUGUAAAGUGCUUUCAGUUGGGAAGAAGAAAGGGACGGUACCAACAGAAGAAGCGACGGCUAAAUACGUGCCAGCAGCCGCGGUAAUACGUAUGUCGCAAGCGUUAUCCGGAUUUAUUGGGCGUAAAGCGCGUCUAGGCGGAAAAAUAAGUCUGAUGUUAAAAUGCGGGGCUCAACUCCGUAUUGCGUUGGAAACUGUUUUUCUAGAGUACUGGAGAGGUGGGCGGAACUACAAGUGUAGAGGUGAAAUUCGUAGAUAUUUGUAGGAAUGCCGAUGGAGAAGUCAGCUCACUGGACAGAUACUGACGCUGAAGCGCGAAAGCGUGGGGAGCAAACAGGAUUAGAUACCCUGGUAGUCCACGCCGUA
Molecule: ribosomal RNA, 785 nt
Filed under: uncultured bacterium
Lineage: Bacteria
Description: bacterial SSU rRNA
Rfam family: Bacterial small subunit ribosomal RNA
Source: RNAcentral